AGACUUUGAUUCUGGCUCAGGACGAACGCUGGCGGCGUGCUUAACACAUGCAAGUCGAACGGUCUACCUCGACAGAAACCUUCAGGUUGAAGACGAGAUCUAGAUAGUGGCGGACGGGUGAGUAACACGUGAAUAAUCUGUCCUCAAGUCUGGGAUAACCUGGCGAAAGUCGGGCUAAUCCGAGGUAAGCUGAGAGUGUGGCAUCACACAAUCAGAAAAGGUGCUUUGGCAUCGUUUGAGGAGGAGUUCGCGGUAGAUUAGCUAGCUGGUGAGGUAAUGGCUCACCAGGGCAACAAUCUAUAGCUGGUCUGAGAGGACGAUCAGUCACACUGGAACUGAGACACGGUCCAGACUCCUACGGGAGGCAGCAGUGGGGAAUCUUCCACAAUGGGCGAAAGCCUGAUGGAGCAACGCCGCGUGAGUGAAGAAGGUCUUAGGAUUGUAAAGCUCUGUCCUUAGGGAAGAACCGUGGGUAUAGUAAAUGCUACCCACCUGACGGUACCUUUGGAGGAAGCACUGGCUAACUACGUGCCAGCAGCCGCGGUAAUACGUAGAGUGCAAGCGUUGUCCGGAAUUAUUGGGCGUAAAGGGUAC
RNAcentral lists this ribosomal RNA (594 nucleotides) under uncultured bacterium. RNAcentral describes it as "bacterial SSU rRNA". It matches the Rfam family "Bacterial small subunit ribosomal RNA", at positions 8 to 570 of the family's 1533-position model. The record is from RNAcentral.